UAGAGAGGACCACAUGUAACUGUCAUGG
RNAcentral lists this non-coding RNA (28 nucleotides) under Mus musculus (house mouse). Lineage: Eukaryota; Metazoa; Chordata; Mammalia; Rodentia; Muridae. The record is from RNAcentral.